CCUGGCAUCAGGUAACUAUUAAAGUUCCGGCGGUGGGGGAUGAGCGUGCGUCCCAUUAGGUAGUUGGUAGGGUAACGGCCUACCAAGCCGACGAUGGGUAGCUGGUGUGAGAGCACGACCAGCCACACGGGCACUGAGACACGGGCCCGACUCCUACGGGAGGCAGCAGUGAGGAAUAUUGGUCAAUGGGCGCAAGUCUGAACCAGCCAUGCCGCGUGGAGGAUGAAGGCCCUCUGGGUUGUAAACUUCUUUUAUCAGGGAAGAAACCACCGAUUUCUAUUGGUGCCGACGGUACCUGAUGAAUAAGCACCGGCUAACUCCGUGCCAGCAGCCGCGGUAAUACGGAGGGUGCAAGCGUUAUCCGGAUUUACUGGGUUUAAAGGGUGUGUAGGCGGGCUUUUAAGUCCGUGGUGAAAUCCCGGGGCUCAACCUCGGAACUGCCAUGGAUACUAUUGGUCUUGAAUACCGUUGAGGUGGGCGGAAUACAUCAUGUAGCGGUGAAAUGCUUAGAUAUGAUGUAGAACACCGAUUGCGAAGGCAGCUCACUGGACGGUUAUUGACGCUGAGGCACGAAAGCGUGGGGAUCAAACAGGAUUAGAUACCCUGGUAGUCCACGCCCUAAACGAUGAUUACUCGACAUUGGCGAUACACAGUCAGUGUCUGAGCGAAAGCAUUAAGUAAU
Molecule: ribosomal RNA, 682 nt
Filed under: uncultured Bacteroidota bacterium
Lineage: Bacteria; Pseudomonadati; Bacteroidota
Description: bacterial SSU rRNA
Rfam family: Bacterial small subunit ribosomal RNA
Source: RNAcentral